GCCUCCGUAGCACAGUAGCUAGUGCGCCUGACUUGUAAUCAGGAGGUCGCCGGUGCAACUCCGGCCGGGGGCU
Molecule: transfer RNA, 73 nt
Filed under: Candidatus Woesearchaeota archaeon
Lineage: Archaea; Nanobdellati; Candidatus Woesearchaeota
Description: tRNA-Thr
Rfam family: tRNA
About the family: Transfer RNA (tRNA) molecules are approximately 80 nucleotides in length. Their secondary structure includes four short double-helical elements and three loops (D, anti-codon, and T loops).
Source: RNAcentral